CUCCUCCACCCCACAAAGAAGAAAAUCUGUUGUAAAUUUCUAUCCAUUCUUUCUUUGGAGUUUCUUUCAAAAAGAUAAAGUCCAGGAUGAGGGAGGAGAAGGGUGAUUUCCCUUUGGCAGUGAAGAAAAUAAUGGCUUCAUUGCUUUUAUAGUUGAACCUUAUCUCAUGCUUUUCUGCCUUCAGAAAAGGCAGAAUCUUGUUGUAUAGUCUCACUAGCAGCAAAAAUAGUUACUUUUUAAAAUGUUUCCAACAAACUUCUUAAAGAUCACUAGGAAAUUUUUUUGAAAUAGAAGGGAAAACUUUGAGGAGGAUAAAUGGAGGCAGGGUUAAGUUUGAGAAAGAAGUUUCUUGACUUGUUCAACUUCUCUUUAGGAAGAGAACUCUGGGGAUUUGGAAGAAUUAUCUAAACCAAGUUCUAAGACAAACAGCACUGCUUCAAGGUGCAUGGAAGAAAAAGACUCCAGCUUACUGACUUGGUUGGCAUGGGCCUGAGAAUGGAGCGUGUGUGCGUGUGUGACUGGGACUGCGUGGGUCACCUUGGUAGAUGUCGUGAUGAUGAGGCAGUGAACUGAGCUCUGCCACUUCUGCAGAUGAAUAUAGCAGCAGUGAAGCUGCUGGUGAAAAGACGGAGCAGAAUGACGAUGACAACAUAAAAUCUCAGGAGGUAAGGAAUAUUUUUCAGAUUUUAUUCAGAUUUAUUUAAGUACUAAGAACAAAUAAAAUGCAUUAAAUACUGUUACCUACAGUUUUCUUAAGUAUUUUUGAAGUAGUUAUUUUUUUUAAAUGCAGUGGGGCACCAUUUCAUACAGUGCAUUUUAUCAGUGUCAUUUUGUUUAAUUUUGUUCUCAUCAUCGUUUUAUCCAAACAUUUGUAUGAAACCUACUUCUGUCAUGGCCAUAUAGGAUCAGCCCAGAAUUGUCCCUCCAUGUCCAGGUCAGGUUCCAGAUGUAACAGCUUAGCCUGCCCCAGCCAGGCACCAGUCUAGGUCAGAGACUGGGGCUGCUGAGCCCUGGAGUCUGGACAGGACGGGAUGGGAGCAGCAGCAGCAGGGUGUACAGAACCUGCAGCGAGCGCCACAUGGGACCUGGUUUGAUGAGGCAAAGCCAGGGAUUCCUGGGAGGCUGCAGAAGCAGGCAGACCUCCAGCCCUGCCCGCUCCAGGCCCAUUUGGAUUUGCAGAGAGCCCAGUGGGGCACAGAAUGGCAGUGGCCUGAGACAGAGGCCCAUUAAUCAAGGGAAACAGCCAGUACACCAGCCAGAUCUUCAGAUAACUGUUGCCAAGUUGGCCAGUCUUGAUACAACUUUUUUUUUUUUUAAAGAUUUUAUUUUUUCCUUUUUCUCCCCAAAGCCCCCCGGUACAUAGUUGUGUAUUCUUCGUUGUGGGUUCCUCCAGCCGUGGCAUGUGGGACGCUGCCCCAGCGUGGUCCAAUGAGCAGUGCCAUGUCCGCGCCCAGGACUCGAACCAACGAAACACUGGGCCACCUGCAGCGGAGCGCACGAACCCAACCACUCGGCCACGGGGCCAGCCCCAUUGAUACAACUUUUUAAUAGUUCUUUUUCUUUUCUCAUACUUCUAUAUGAGAAAUUCAGUGACCUGCCUUUUUUUUAUAAGGGAUAAUGUUUCAUCACAAGUGACUUGGACUAAACCCAAAUUUA
This 1656-nucleotide long non-coding RNA is filed under the name Equus asinus (donkey). RNAcentral describes it as "lncRNA (ENSEASG00005037558.1)". Lineage: Eukaryota; Metazoa; Chordata; Mammalia; Perissodactyla; Equidae. The record is from RNAcentral.